RNAcentral lists this ribosomal RNA (519 nucleotides) under Blastocystis hominis. RNAcentral's name for it is "SSU rRNA". It matches the Rfam family "Eukaryotic small subunit ribosomal RNA", at positions 48 to 583 of the family's 1831-position model. The record is from RNAcentral. Lineage: Eukaryota; Bigyra; Opalinata; Blastocystidae.
GCCAUGCAUGUGUAAGUAUAAAUAUUUAACUUUGAAACUGCGAAUGGCUCAUUAUAUCAGUUAUAGUUUAUUUGAUGAAAAGUACUACUUGGAUAACCGUAGUAAUUCUAGAGCUAAUACAUGAUAAAAUCCUCGACUUUGAAGAGGUGUAUUUAUUAGAAUGAAACCAAUAGACUUCGGUCUGUUUGUGAGUAAUAAUAACUAAUCGUAUCGCAUGCUUAGGUAGCGAUAUGUCUUUCAAGUUUCUGCCCUAUCAGCUUUGGAUGGUAGUGUAUUGGACUACCAUGGCAGUAACGGGUAACGAAGAAUUUGGGUUCGAUUUCGGAGAGGGAGCCUGAGAGAUGGCUACCACAUCCAAGGAAGGCAGCAGGCGCGUAAAUUACCCAAUCCUGACAUAGGGAGGUAGUGACAAUAAAUCACAAUGCGGAACUAUUAGUUUUGCAAUUGGAUUGAGAACAAUGUACAAAUGUUAUCGAUAAACAAUUGGAGGGCAAGUCUGGUGCCAGCAGCCGCGGUAAU